CACUGUACAGCAAGGGGGUCAGGUUAUCCUUACAUGUAUACAUUACAAUUACAUUUUUCCCCCACCCUUUCUUCUGUUGCAACAUGAGUAUCUAGACAAAGUUCUCAAUGCUAUUCAGCAGGAUCUCCUUGUAAAUCUAUUCUAAGUUGUGUCUGAUAAGCCCAAGCUCCCGAUCCCUCCCACUCCCUCCCCCUCCCAUCAGGCAGCCACAAGUCUCUUCUCCAAGUCCAUGAUUUUCUUUUCUAAGGAGAUGUUCAUUUGUGCUGGAUUUUUACUGUAGUUGAUCUGUAAUGUUCUGUCAGUUUCUGCUGUACAGCAAAGUGACCCAAUUAUUCAUAUAUAUAUGUGUGUGUGUGUGUGUGUGUGUGUGUGUAUGCAUUCUUUUUCUCAUAUUAUCUUCUAUCAUGUUCUAACACAAGUGAUUGGAUAUAGUUCCCUGUGCUGUAUUUUUUAACAUUUGAGUAUAGUUGAUUUACAGAGUUGUGUCAAUGUCUGCUGUAUAACAUUGUGACCCAGCCACACAAAUAUAUACAUUUCCUAUCUAGGACAGUAAAACUUGGAGGAUCUGACUUAAAAAACAAACAAAGAGAGAAAAAAAAAAAAAAGGAAGAGUCUUGAAUGCUGUUAACAUUUAAUUAAUUAAUUAAAAUUUACCUUCAGCCCCAUCCGUCUAAAAUAAACCCCUGACUGUGGUCAGCGGUUACAUGCAGACUUUGUCAUUUUGCUUACUGACCACACAUUUUCAUUGAUCAAUUCUAAAUUGGAUUAUUGUUAGUUUUAAAAGCGCCUGAGCAGCAGAAAGUGGCUGUGGUGGCAGGCAAAGGGGAGAUUGAUAGCAGAAUAAACAGGGAAAGUGACAAGAUUCCAGGCUGAAUUGAUCACUGUCAGCGGGUCCGUGGUCAGCUGUCUGCCCUUUAGUGCCCAAAGUAAACAUGAGAAUAAUGUUUAGACAAACACAUUUGAUUUUUGAGGUAAUGGGUAUGUCAACUAAAUGACAAACCUUAGAAAGGUCAAAGGGAUAUCCAUUUUUCAGACUCUUUCAACCAUUAAUCGUUGAUUUUGGUAACAGUGCACUUGCAGAUGGAGCAGAGAGAGAACACCGGAUUGCAUGUUUGCUGUGUGAUGCUCCAGACAGACCUCCUCAGGAUUCACCUGUCCAUCAGCAUUUUCUCAAAAAUAAAAUUUUGUUGUAAGCAGAGUUCUUCCUUUAAAAAAGGUACUCAGAAUUUCAAUUAUCUAAAGACCAUCAGAAAUGCAACAAGCUUAUUAAUCCUUGGAAGGGGCUCAGUCCAUUAGCAUCCACUACAAUCUUGUUUAUGUUGCCUGUUAUCUCUAAUAAAACAAAUCAGAGCAGAGCCAUCCCUAAUCAUCCAUUAGCCUCUGAGAAAUUUAUAAUGUUAUUCUAAACACAGGAUAUCAUUGUUGAAUCAAUAGUACCUGAAAUUACAGUUUGGUACAAUUCGCCAUUUGCUGGCCCAUUUUUAAUGCAAUUUUUGUUCCUCUUUAAAAUAUCACACAUUCACAAUGACUUACGAGGCCAAUCAGCAUUGAUGGUGACUAUUCCAAGAGUCCCACAUUCACCUGGCUUAUCUGAUCACACAAGGCAUUUUUCUUUUGCAUGCAGGGAUGUGACAGAUGAAACCAGACUGUAGUGGAAUGUGGUAUAGGAUUAUCCCUGCCUCCAGAAAAAUUUGAGCAAGAUUCUGCUUCUCACAGAAGAACAUCAUGUUUUGCUGGUAGUUGCUACUUGCAUGUCGUAAUCUCUCAAUCUAUUGAUGUCCUUGACAAAAUAUUAGGACCCUCUAAACUCAUCAAGCACAUGCAUGUACAGAGGAAGUCAGAGAAAUGUGAAGUAUGUAUUUGGGUCCUACCUGUAACACUCAUGCCAUGGCAUAGGCUGCAUAUCACUCAGAUAAAAGAGUAUAAUGAGAGGGAAGCAUAACCCACAUGGGCCUCUAUUUCCUUUGUUAUGUAAAAUUCCAGCAAACUCACUGUGCAGGUUGGGUACUUAGGAAAUAAUUCUUUGAAUACACCUGCCCUAUGGAAAUGUCUUAGCUUUGGUGCCAUAAUGAAAUGCCUAGAAUGAGUAGCUUGAACAACAAAAAUUUAUUUUCUCUCAGCUGUCUGGUCUAGAAGUCCAAGAUCAAAGAGGCAGCAUGGUCAGUUUCUAGUGGGAGCUCUCUUCCUGACUUGAAGACAGCUGCCCUCUAGCUUUGUCCUCACAGACAGGGAGGGAGAGAGAGAGAGAAAGCUCUCUGGAGUCUCUCUUUAUUAAGGGCACUAAUCCCAUCAUAAAGGCCCCAUUCUCAUGACCUCAUCUAAACCUAAUGACCUUCCAGAGGCCCCCACCUUCAAGUACAAUCACAGUGGAGGUCAAGGCUUCAACACAGGAAUGUGGGGAGCACACCAUUAGUCCAUAGCAGGAGGCAUGAGGUUAUCAGCUUUUUAGAGGUAGAUGUAACUGAUGUCCACACAUUUCUAGCUCUUGUCCAAGUCUAACAAAAUCUUCGUUACACUUCUCCACGCCCUUGAAAUUAACCUUGGCCAUGUGACUAGUCAUGGCUAGUGAAGCAUGUCACUUCCAGGCCAAAGCAUAUCACUGUUGUUGUUCAGCUCUCCUGCCAUCUCUUACUCUAUCAAGGUCAGCCCUGAGCUCCUUGUGAUAGUGUCAUAGGUGGUAUUCUAGUUACUAUUACUGCAGAAAAACUGAGUAGCUUAACACAAGCAUUGGCUUAUACUCAGGGAUGCUGUGGGUCAAGAAUUUUAACAAGGUAACGAAAGGAUGAAUUGUCCAGCUCCAUCAUGUCUAAAGCUAGGAAGACUCAAUGGCUGAGGUCUAGAAUCAUCUAAAGGAUUCAUAUAUCUGGUGCUGAGAGCAAGAUGAUUCAAAGGCUAAGACUACCACCUAGAGUGCCCACAGUAUGGCAAAAUUAAGGCAGUCAGAUUUCAUACUCGGAUCCCAGGGGCUCCAGCAAAAAAGGCAAAAACUAUGUGGACAUUUGGGAGUCAGCUUGGAAGUCACACAAAUCACAUUGGCCCUAUGCUCUUUCAAGUUAAAGUAGCAACGAGCUGACCCAGAUUCAAGGAGGAGGGACAUGGAUAUCAUCUCUUUAUCAGAGGGGUGUCAAAGAAUGUAUGUGCUCGGGUGGAGUUGGUGGGGAGGGGACUUUGUAAAAUUACCAUUUAAGGUGUGGAGUGACCUUUUGGAGCAGAGCUCCGCUGCCUUUCCACAAAACGAUGUAGAAUAGUAAUAAACUCUCCUAUGUUAACCCACUGUGGUUUUCGUGGCAUCUGUUCAUGCCCAGGCCAAAUAGAAUAUCUCCUUAAGACUUCAAAGUGUCAAUGAGCAUCCUCCAUAAAUAUCAAAUUGACCAGAAUAGAAAAGACUUCUACUUUAGAGAAGUAUACCUCCAGUACUCAACUCACGCUUCUAAAGCCAUCUUUUUAUUUAUUUGUCUAUUUAUUUAUUUGCUCUCUAGGGCUGCACCUUUGGCAUAUGGAUGUUCCCAGGCUGAGGGUCCAUUAGGAGCUAUAGCUGCCGUCCUACGCCACAGCUUACGGCAAUGCCAGAUUCUUAACCCACUGAACAAGACCAGAGAUUGAACACACAACCUCAUGGUUUCCAGUUGGAAUUGUUUCUGCUGCUCCAUGAUGGGAACUCCUCAAAAACAAUCUUUAAACCAGAGUUAAUAGAAUACCCAUGACAUGUGCUCCAACUGCUUGCUAAGGGGUCAUGUCAAACAGCACUGGUCAGUCUCAGCACUAACCAUUGAGCUAUCCUCUCCUGAGUCCCAAAAUUUCUUUCCAUAAGAUUAAUUCUAGUAUAAUUCCUCUCCAAACCUAUGUUAUAGUCCUAUCUGUGUGUUUUUAAAUUCCUGCCUUAGGUCAACGUUGGUGCAGAGGAGAUAAUAUGGUGCUAAGUUUUACUCUUUGACCAGUUUUCAAACAAAUACAUCGAAGUAUAAUUCUAUAUCUAAGGCUGAACCAAAAGCUGGAUGUGGGGGAGAAGGGAACUUACAGAAGACUUGCUGGCAAAGACUGAGAUCGGAAGUAGAUUUUAUCUCCCUGGGGAGUCAAGACAUGCACACAAAACUGUAAUUAGUAAUCUGAUAAGGUAUCAUAAGGACCUGAAAGCAAAGCACAGGAAAGUACAUUAUCAGAGUCGUGGGAAAGGAGAUGAGACUUGGUUAAAGUAGAAGGAGAUGGCUUUAGAGAGGGAACUGGAUUCAGCUUGUCUUUGAAGGGAAGGCAGAUCACACUGUAAUGGGAGGAGCAAAGAAUGCACAGAAUGUGUAGAGCCAAGAACACAGGGGAGGAGCUAGUGCAAGAAAGAUACUGAACAGGUUAGACCACAUAGAGUAUCCUCAAAAAGCAUCAAAUUAUCAAAGUUAGAUCUGAAGUCAUUGUGAUCCAAUGGAGAUCAGCCCACUUCCUGUGGGCUUCAGAACAGACAGAAAACUAGGUUCCUCUUCUCUUAUUCUAUGACCUGGAGAAGCUUGAAAGAAUCAAGGAAAGUCAGGAGCCGGGAAGCGGUCCUGGGCACAAAUCCAACUCUGCUUCUCACUCACUCAAGGAUAAGGACUUAACUCAUCUGAAACCCCCUUCCACAUUUUGCCACAUGAGUAUGAAGUUCGAAUUAGCAUGACUUUGAGAAUUAAUUUGGCAGUGUGUGGGGGGUUGUCACACUGCUGUGGUUACACGACAGAUGCUCAAACAAAGGUGAGUAUCAUCAUCUUCACUACCACCUCGUUACCACUUUGCCAUUGUCUUUACCGUCUUUGCACUGAUGACAUGAAAAUUCCCAAGGAUAAAUCCCAAGUUAUGCUUUGGAAAGAA
RNAcentral lists this long non-coding RNA (4836 nucleotides) under Sus scrofa (pig). Its description in RNAcentral is "lncRNA (ENSSSCG00000053362.1)". Lineage: Eukaryota; Metazoa; Chordata; Mammalia; Artiodactyla; Suidae. The record is from RNAcentral.